This 106-nucleotide transfer RNA is filed under the name Lachancea fermentati. It matches the Rfam family "tRNA". Rfam says of the family: Transfer RNA (tRNA) molecules are approximately 80 nucleotides in length. Their secondary structure includes four short double-helical elements and three loops (D, anti-codon, and T loops). Further hydrogen bonds mediate the characteristic L-shaped molecular structure. tRNAs have two regions of fundamental functional importance: the anti-codon, which is responsible for specific mRNA codon recognition, and the 3' end, to which the tRNAs corresponding amino acid is attached (by aminoacyl-tRNA synthetases). tRNAs cope with the degeneracy of the genetic code in two manners: having more than one tRNA (with a specific anti-codon) for a particular amino acid; and 'wobble' base-pairing, i.e. permitting non-standard base-pairing at the 3rd anti-codon position. Lineage: Eukaryota; Fungi; Ascomycota; Saccharomycetes; Saccharomycetales; Saccharomycetaceae. The record is from Rfam by way of RNAcentral.
GGUUGCGUAGUGUAGAGGUUAUCACUGCGGAUUCUGAAAUCCCCUGCCUCGUCUGGGCCGAAAUUUGAACAUUCCGCUAACCUCGGUUCGAAUCCGAGCGCGACCG